CCUACGGGAGGCAGCAGUGGGGAAUUUUGGACAAUGGGCGCAAGCCUGAUCCAGCAAUGCCGCGUGCAGGAUGAAGGCCUUCGGGUUGUAAACUGCUUUUGUACGGAACGAAACGGUCCGUUUUAAUACAGUGGGCUAAUGACGGUACCGUAAGAAUAAGCACCGGCUAACUACGUGCCAGCAGCCGCGGUAAUACGUAGGGUGCGAGCGUUAAUCGGAAUUACUGGGCGUAAAGCGUGCGCAGGCGGUUAUAUAAGACAGAUGUGAAAUCCCCGGGCUCAACCUGGGACCUGCAUUUGUGACUGUAUAGCUAGAGUACGGUAGAGGGGGAUGGAAUUCCGCGUGUAGCAGUGAAAUGCGUAGAUAUGCGGAGGAACACCGAUGGCGAAGGCAAUCCCCUGGACCUGUACUGACGCUCAUGCACGAAAGCGUGGGGAGCAAACAGGAUUAGAUACCCUGGUAG
RNAcentral lists this ribosomal RNA (463 nucleotides) under uncultured bacterium. Its description in RNAcentral is "bacterial SSU rRNA". It matches the Rfam family "Bacterial small subunit ribosomal RNA", at positions 338 to 793 of the family's 1533-position model. The record is from RNAcentral.